Molecule: long non-coding RNA, 302 nt
Filed under: Elaeis guineensis (African oil palm)
Lineage: Eukaryota; Viridiplantae; Streptophyta; Magnoliopsida; Arecales; Arecaceae
Description: long non-coding RNA (EGUI_LNC065899)
Source: RNAcentral
UCGCAGGAACUCGGAUGGAAUCCGGAAGGUGGUCGACCAUCGUAGAAACUUGGAUGGAGUCUGGUUACUGUAGAAAUCUCAUCGUCGGAGAAGCUCGGAUAUUGACGAAGUUCGGAAGAAGUUCGGAAUAGGGUCGUCUGCGGUCGGAAGGAGUUUGGAAGGGAUGUGGAGUAUAGUUGAUCACUGUAGAAGGUCGGCUGAUAGUGAAGCCCAGAGAGCCUUUGGAGCGGCCCGAUAGAUGAAUGGGGAAGCUCAUUGUCGGAGAAUUCCGGAUGGUCGAGGGAGUACAGAAAGACGUCACA